UACUAUAGUGUCCAGUGUCAAUGAAUAUAUUAAUAAUAAAUCUAACAUGGAGGACACUGUCAAAAGUGAGCAUGAUUGCAGACAACUGGUGAAGGACUUAAGGAAACAAUUGGUUGAAGU
This is a long non-coding RNA of Amphimedon queenslandica, 120 nucleotides long. RefSeq lists it as uncharacterized. The record is from RefSeq and is a predicted model, not a curated record. Lineage: Eukaryota; Metazoa; Porifera; Demospongiae; Haplosclerida; Niphatidae. The transcript has 2 exons.